Molecule: ribosomal RNA, 253 nt
Filed under: uncultured bacterium
Lineage: Bacteria
Description: partial 16S ribosomal RNA
Rfam family: Bacterial small subunit ribosomal RNA
Source: RNAcentral
UACGGAGGGUGCAAGCGUUGUCCGGAAUCACUGGGCGUAAAGGGCGCGUAGGCGGCUCAUGAAGGCUGUGGUGAAAGUCCGGGGCUCAACCUCGGAUCGGCCGUGGCGACUCGUGGGCUGGAGCACUGUAGAGGCGGGUGGAAUUCCGGGUGUAGCGGUGGAAUGCGUAGAGAUCCGGAAGAACACCGGUGGCGAAGGCGGUCUGCUGGGCAGUUGCUGACACUGAGGCGCGACAGCGUGGGGAGCAAACGGG